ACCUUUUAAGUAUACCACAGUACAUUUGCCUUCCAAGUAAAAAGAUUAAUAAAAUUUAAAAAAGGUA
Molecule: transfer RNA, 67 nt
Filed under: Pila virens
Lineage: Eukaryota; Metazoa; Mollusca; Gastropoda; Architaenioglossa; Ampullariidae
Description: tRNA-Gly
Source: RNAcentral